Long non-coding RNA from Helianthus annuus (common sunflower), 221 nucleotides. RefSeq lists it as uncharacterized. The transcript has 2 exons. The record is from RefSeq and is a predicted model, not a curated record. Lineage: Eukaryota; Viridiplantae; Streptophyta; Magnoliopsida; Asterales; Asteraceae.
UACCUGCAAACUUGAUUAACUUUUCUGUGUUACUGCCGAGCAAACCAAGGACCAUAGGUACUCAGCUGGAGCUUGCAUGGAGGAGAGUCGUUGUGGGACACAGAUUGUUGCGUGCCAUGUUCUAUUUGAGAAACAUUUGAACUUAUGUUAUAACUUUAAACUUAUGCUUCCGCUUGCAACUUAAACUUUGUUUGUUUGAAACACCAAUCGUAUUGGUUAAA